This is a non-coding RNA of Nanorana parkeri, 1634 nucleotides long. The record is from the annotation of a RefSeq genome assembly. Lineage: Eukaryota; Metazoa; Chordata; Amphibia; Anura; Dicroglossidae.
CCAGCAGUACCCCUAUCUCCACAAUGACGGACAGCAAUGGAAAUUACGCUGCCAUAAGCAUACUGAAUAUUUCCAGGGAAAGCUGGGAUCAAGAGGAAACAUAUACCUGUCAGGUCAAUCACCAGGAAAAAAUGUUCAAGGAGAAUAUAAGUAAAUGUAAAGAUCCUCUCUUACUACCUGAUGGAUACAUACAAAAACCAUCAUUUAAAGACUUAUUUGUUUUAAAAACUGCCAAUGUUUCAUGUAAAACGAAUCUUCCUUAUGUUAACAUACGCUGGAUGCUUAAUGGAAAGGAAAAGCGGAGCUCCUACAAGGGAAAACAGAAACCUGGCAAUUCGACAUGGGUGGAGAGCACAUUGCAAAUAAGCUUAGAAGAAUGGAAAACAGUCUCAAGCCUCUCCUGCAAAUUGCAUCCACCCAAACCGGUACUGCAAAGAAAGAUGACCAUUACACGGUCAAAUGAUGCAAAAGAAAUGAAGACUCCAUCUGUAUACUUACUGCCUCCUACUCCAGAAAGUAUAGCAGUCAAAGACAACCUCACUUUGGUAUGCUUGGUGCAAGACUUUUACCCGGAAGACCUCUUUGUGACCUGGGAGGCUAAUGGUAAAACCAGCAAGAAUGAUGUUCCAGAUUCCAGUUCAAUUAGUUGCAACCACAGAGAAAAACACUGCAUGUUCACCAGUCAGCUGCCAAUCCUAAAGAGUGAAUGGUUAAUAGAUACAAGUUACUCCUGUCUUGUUGCCCAUAUCUCAUCUGGUGUCUACAUUAGAAAGAACAUUAGUGCUGAAAGCAUAAAAUUAGAAUAUCUUCCUGUGAAACCUGAACAUUACAUCGUGAAACCAUCCUUCAAGAAUGUCUUUGAUACCAAAAUUGCAGAGGUCAAAUGUGAAACCAAUGAAGAUAAAAAUAGUCUAAGCUGGCUUGUUAAUGGCACAGAAAAGGCAGAGCUCUGGGAAAGAACAGAUAAACAAAAUAUGAAGGGGGAAGAGAAAUGGAUUGAAAGCACAAUAAAGAUCCCAUUGGCAGACUGGAAAGCAUUAUCAACCUUGUCCUGCAAAUUAAGUCAAACCCAAGAACUUCAAAAUAUAACUAAUCCAAACGUGAUGAAAAGACCAAGAGUAUACAUACUCACAACCAAUGAUGCCAAUGGGACAGAAGAAGAGCAGAUGAGUUUAAUUUGUCUUGUAAAAGCAUUUUAUCCAGAAGACAUUUUUGUAACCUGGAACGUCAAUUACACCAUAAUCCAGGAGGAUAUUCCAAGCCCGAAAGAUGUCACAUGCGACCACGAGAGCCAACAAUGCUCAUUUGUCAGUGAGCUGUCCAUUUCAAAAGAAGACUGGGAUGCAGGAAAGAUAUACAUGUGCCAAGUGGCUCAUAUCUCCUCUGAAAUCUACUACAUUAAAAAUGUCAGCAAUGUUAUUGGUGAAACUACACAACCAAAUAAACCUUUAUCCACUAACAAUUGUUCUUUCUACCAUGAUGAUGGGGGAGAAGACUUAAGUGAGUCAGAAGAAAUAAACAGUAUAUGGACCACAUCAUCAACUUUUAUUGCCCUCUUUCUGCUGACAUUAAUCUACAGUAGUUGUGUCACUUUUGUUAAGGUUAAAUGAAGGUAAAAGCUCAAACUGUGAAGU